CGAUAGCGUAUAUUUAAGUUGUUGCAGUUAAAAAGCUCGUAGUUGGAUUUCGGGUGGGAAUGGCCGGUCCGCCGUUUCGGUGUGCACUUGCUACGCCCGCCUUGCUGCCGGGGACGUGCUCUUGAGUUCACGCUCGGGACACGGAGUCGGCGAGGUUACUUUGAGUAAAUUAGAGUGUUCAAAGCAGGCCUACGCUCUGAAUACAUUAGCAUGGAAUAACACGAUAGGACUCUGGCCUAUCUUGUUGGUCUGUAGGACCGGAGUAAUGAUUAAGAGGGACAGUCGGGGGCAUUCGUAUUUCAUUGUCAGAGGUGAAAUUCUUGGAUUUAUGAAAGACGAACUACUGCGAAAGCAUUUGCCAAGGAUGUUUUCAUUAA
This 377-nucleotide ribosomal RNA is filed under the name uncultured eukaryote. RNAcentral's name for it is "partial 18S ribosomal RNA". It matches the Rfam family "Eukaryotic small subunit ribosomal RNA", at positions 592 to 976 of the family's 1831-position model. The record is from RNAcentral.